UGCACAGAGUCUAGGUAAUCUUAUGGA
This 27-nucleotide non-coding RNA is filed under the name Rattus norvegicus (Norway rat). The record is from RNAcentral. Lineage: Eukaryota; Metazoa; Chordata; Mammalia; Rodentia; Muridae.